UUUCAGUGCACAAAACGGUUAUCAAGCUAAGCUGUAUUGACAAAGAAAUUAGGAAUUCUCUUCAAUUGGGAAAACAGAACUUGCCACAGUGUUUGAAAGCUAUAUCAAAGUUUGGAACCCUGGCUGUGCAUGGAGCAGCACUAAGAAAGUAUCCUGAAAUUAUAUCAACUGUGAAGAAGUGUCGGCACUUUGCCUACUGUGGGCGCAUCAGGCAGAAGGCAGAACUUACAUUGUGUACAUUCAGGAAGACAUUAGAAAGAGGGAAGAAAAAGACA
This is a long non-coding RNA of Haliotis rubra (blacklip abalone), 275 nucleotides long. RefSeq lists it as uncharacterized. The transcript is spliced from 3 exons. The record is from RefSeq and is a predicted model, not a curated record. Lineage: Eukaryota; Metazoa; Mollusca; Gastropoda; Lepetellida; Haliotidae.